CCUACGGGUGGCUGCAGUCGAGAAUCAUUCACAAUGGGGGAAACCCUGAUGGUGCGACGCCGCGUGGGGGAAUGAAGGUCUUCGGAUUGUAAACCCCUGUCAUGUGGGAGCAAAUUAAAAAGAUAGUACCACAAGAGGAAGAGACGGCUAACUCUGUGCCAGCAGCCGCGGUAAUACAGAGGUCUCAAGCGUUGUUUGGAAUCACUGGGCGUAAAGCGUGCGUAGGCUGUUUCGUAAGUCGGGUGUGAAAGGCGCGGGCUCAACCCGCGGACGGCACAUGAGACUGCGAGACUAGAGUAAGGGAGGGGGAACCGGAAUUCUCGGUGUAGCAGUGAAAUGCGUAGAUAUCGAGAGGAACACUCGUGGCGAAGGCGGGUUCCUGGACAUUAACUGACGCUGAGGCACGAAGGCCAGGGGAGCGAAAGGGAUUAGAUACCCGGGUAGUC
Molecule: ribosomal RNA, 446 nt
Filed under: uncultured bacterium
Lineage: Bacteria
Description: partial 16S ribosomal RNA
Rfam family: Bacterial small subunit ribosomal RNA
Source: RNAcentral